AACGAACGCUGGCGGCGCGUCUUAAACAUGCAAGUCGAACGGCAGGAAGGGGCUUGCCCCUUCUGAGAGUGGCGGACUGGUGAGUAACACGUGGGUGACAUACCUUUUAGUUGGGGAUAGCUAUUAGAAAUAGUAGGUAUUACCGAAUGUUACCGUACCUGUUAGAGGGGUACGAUGAAAGGAGCUAAUGCUUCGCUAAAAGAAUUGCUCGCGGCCCAUUAUGCUCGUUGGUGAGGUAACGGCCCACCAAGGCGAUGAUGGGUAUCCGGCCUGAGAGGGUGAACGGACACAUUGGGACUGAGAUACGGCCCAGACUUCUACGGGAGGCAGCAGUUAAGAAUAUUCCGCAAAGGACGAAAGUCUGACGGAGCGACGCCGCGUGGAUGAAGAAUGCCGAAAGGUUGUAAAAUACUUUUAAGCCUGAUGAAUAAGAACAGUAGGGAAUGAUUGUGCGGUGACCGUAGGGAUUGAAUAAGCACCGGCUAAUUACGUG
Molecule: ribosomal RNA, 493 nt
Filed under: uncultured bacterium
Lineage: Bacteria
Description: partial 16S ribosomal RNA
Rfam family: Bacterial small subunit ribosomal RNA
Source: RNAcentral